UAGUGCUGCUGUAUUUGUUUGAAUAUAGGAUGUAAAAGGAAGAUGAGGUUUGUACAGGUUGAAUUUGAAAUGCUUGUGCCAUAUCUGAUGGAGAUGCUCCAUGGGUCUGAAGCUCAGGAAAGUGAUCUGGUUGAUAAGUUGACUGAAAGUUUCAGCAUACAGAGAGUGGUUUCAGCAUACAGUGGUUGAGGCAAGCAGAGUCUAUGAAAUCCCCAGGAGACAUGCAUAAAGUGAGAAGAGAAUUCCAGAGCAUAUCAACCCUUAAGUGAUGAGCAGAGGAAGAGGAACUUGAAAUGACUCUGAGAGGAAACAGCUGGAGACAUAAGAGGAAACCUAGGAGAGGGUAGUGUCACUGGAGCCAAGAAGACAGUUCCAAGUAACACAGUAAAUGUGCAAGGAGUGAGCCCCUGUCCUUCUUACCUCCAAGGCCAUUCCAAACUCUUGUCUGAGAAGUGUCUUGAGUUUUGUCUUGUUCAGCCUCUGCCAGUCUCCAUCACUCUGCGUGCUUGUGGAAAAUGUCGAUGAUACUGAUGCUGCUCCUCAGAAGAUAGGGAAGCAUCUUGUUUUGCCAACUGGAGUGCACCUGGAAUGCACCAAGGAAUACCCAACUUGUUUAAUUUUUCUGAAUCUCUAUCAUCCCUUCUUUCUUCAUCUCUUGGAGGUAAAUUACAGUGUAAAGAUCCGGCUUAUUUGAUUGUUUAUCUGACUCCUUUAGAGAUUUUUCUUUGAGGGCCAGGACCAUGUCUUAUCUAUUUUUUAUUUAUCCUAGUGCCUCAAAUAUAGUAGAAGUUCAAUAAAUGCCUGAUGAAUGGGUGCAGAAACAAAUGAGUGAACCCUGAUUUGAGUGAUAUGUUGGAAUAGGUCUGUGGUUCCCAAACUUUGCUGUACUAUAGAGUCACCAGGAGGAGCUUUAAAGAAAUAAAGACUCCAGGCCCCACCUCCAGAGAGAGUGGCUCAAUAGCUCUGGGGUAGAGUCCUAGACUCUGCAUUUAAAAAGCUCCCCACUGAUUCCUUUGCAGCCGCAAGAACUACUGGCCACCUGACCUCUGAGAUCCUUUGCAGCUAGAAAGUUUUGCAAUGGCAAUAAUAAUGAAUUAACUGACUUAGCAAGCAUUUCUUAAUUUCCUUUGUGCCAAUGCUGUGUUGUGUUCUGGGAAUGGGAGAUGAAUAAGAAAUAGCUCCUUUCCUCAAGGAAUUCAAAGCUUGGAGGAGGAGAUGCAGUUAUCUCAGUACAGUCUGAUAAUUUACACGUAGCGGUGGCUGGGGACUAAGACAGGAGCUCUUCUUAGAUGAUGCCAUUCUUGAAGAUUAUAGAGCAGUACUUUUAAAACAUGGGCAAAGUCCACUAGGGUAUUGCUCCUGUCAUUCUAAUUACAACUUGUCAGUGUUAGAACUUUCAUAGAAUUUUCCAGAAAGCCAAAGCUAUAUCUGCGCAGUCUAAUUGUCUAUGUAAGAAUACUAAGGAAGGAAAACAUUUACAAAAACAGAAAUAUAAUUUUUUUAAAGAACUUACUUAAAUUGCCAAGAGAAAUGGAGGACUCAGGCCUGAGAGCUCAUGGAAUAAUGGGCUUGGGGAUCCUGGUGCUUAUAUAGGGGUUUUAAUUACACCCUUUAACCUGACAUCUUUUGCAGACAACACCCUUGGUGUAUAAUGGACUGAAUCAUUGCCAACCAAACCCCAUUCCACCUGUUUCUCCUCUAAGCGGGGCUUUUAAACUCAGCAUUUCCUUGAAUGCCACCCCUAUUUUGCAUUUGUUCUGUGUCUGCAGCCUGGCUCCUGAGGGACAGCUACUUCUCACAUCCCUGUGGGGCCAUAGUGCCACCAGGAUGUCUUGACAGUGUGCUGAAGUACUCUCAAGAAAAACCUUGUGAACCAAUAGUGGCCUCAUCUCCUGCAAGUAAAAUGAGUUCUUAACCUGAGCCAUUUUAGUCAUGAACAAGAUCUCUUUCACUGUCUGUAAUUGCACAUUUUAUUUGGAUAUGUUGAGGCUGAAGUGCCCAGUUGCAUUAGAUGCUUGCUAUACUGUGAUGUAAAACACAAACAUGAGUCUGUCUUAAUCCCCACCUGGCCUAUUCCUUCGGCGGGUGGUUCUGUGCCUCACGACCCAUCUCCCUGUGUCUAU
RNAcentral lists this long non-coding RNA (2123 nucleotides) under Homo sapiens (human). RNAcentral describes it as "HSALNT0015231". Lineage: Eukaryota; Metazoa; Chordata; Mammalia; Primates; Hominidae. The record is from RNAcentral.